RNAcentral lists this ribosomal RNA (301 nucleotides) under uncultured bacterium. RNAcentral describes it as "partial 16S ribosomal RNA". It matches the Rfam family "Bacterial small subunit ribosomal RNA", at positions 509 to 809 of the family's 1533-position model. The record is from RNAcentral.
CAGCAGCCGCGGUAAUACGUAGGUGGCAAGCGUUGUCCGGAAUUAUUGGGCGUAAAGGGCUCGCAGGCGGUUUCUUAAGUCUGAUGUGAAAGCCCCCGGCUCAACCGGGGAGGGUCAUUGGAAACUGGGAAACUUGAGUGCAGAAGAGGAGAGAGGAAUUCCACGUGUAGCGGUGAAAUGCGUAGAGAUGUGGAGGAACACCAGUGGCGAAGGCGACUCUCUGGUCUGUAACUGACGCUGAGGAGCGAAAGCGUGGGGAGCGAACAGGAUUAGAUACCCCCGUAGUCCCUGUCUCUUAUAA